Molecule: non-coding RNA, 23 nt
Filed under: Arabidopsis thaliana (thale cress)
Lineage: Eukaryota; Viridiplantae; Streptophyta; Magnoliopsida; Brassicales; Brassicaceae
Source: RNAcentral
AUGGACAUGAUCUUUAUUGGGCA